UAGGGGGAAGUAUAAACGGAUGUACGAAGGGUUUUGAUCUCUAAGGCGUGGGUUCAAUCCCCACCACCCUAA
RNAcentral lists this transfer RNA (72 nucleotides) under Boulenophrys sangzhiensis. RNAcentral describes it as "tRNA-Gln". It matches the Rfam family "tRNA". Rfam says of the family: Transfer RNA (tRNA) molecules are approximately 80 nucleotides in length. Their secondary structure includes four short double-helical elements and three loops (D, anti-codon, and T loops). The record is from RNAcentral. Lineage: Eukaryota; Metazoa; Chordata; Amphibia; Anura; Megophryidae. RNAcentral also lists the same sequence under 1 other name.